This is a long non-coding RNA of Biomphalaria glabrata, 2075 nucleotides long. RefSeq lists it as uncharacterized. The record is from RefSeq and is a predicted model, not a curated record. NCBI's taxonomy places the organism in Eukaryota, Metazoa, Mollusca, Gastropoda, Planorbidae. The transcript is spliced from 2 exons.
GUUUAUUCAUAACGGGUGAGAGAUCGUUAGUGAACCUGUUGGACAUAUUUUUUCUUCGUCAUAGGAGCCACAUCGAGUAUCAAGUUUUACCUCGCCAGUUCGAGAAGGACAGUUUGCCCGCUGUCAGAAGUAUUGUGAGUACUACAAGUUUGGUAGCUAACUAAAUCGAAAUCGCUCUGUCGUCUUACCCUUGGAGAGAUUAUUGUGGAGCAGUUUGCUCAUUGAACCGGUUGCUUGCCACGUUUAUAACGGUCACUGUGUUUAACCUUUGGAAGGUUAGUGAAGUAAUCUUUAUUAGUACUGAAUAUUGAUAUAUUUAGUAUUCGUCGGUCUAGACCAUACCUAGACUUGUUAGCAGUGAAGUUGUGGAAACAGCUACAUCCACUUAAUUUCGUUGUAAAAACCGUUAAUCGUCUAACGGAACGUCGUCGGAGGUGACCUUGGUUUCACCUAGUCUACAUUGGACAGUUUGGUCUAGUGAAGCAGAGUACAACAGCAAACUUCGUCGUACUACCAGAGUAGCAGCAGAAGCAGUGAACUAUUUUAGAGAACAGUUAUUCGUCAGCCCAGAUCAAGUCAUCGUCAAGAAAGUCGUUAUUCGUCAGCCCAGAUCAAGUCAUCGUCAAGAAAGCCGUUAUUCGUCAGUCCAGAUCAAGACAUCGUCAAGAAAUUCGUUAUUCGUCAGUCGUCCAGAUCAAGUUGCCGUCAAGAGACUGUUAUUUGUCAGUAGUCAUCUACACAAGUCAAGUCAUCGUCAGAAGAACCGUUAACCUAUUCGUCAGUAACUGUGUACACAAAGUCGUCGGAACUACACAUACGGUCAUCAACAGUCGUCAAAGAAACUGGAACAUUUUGCUGUGGCAUAUCAGGACAUCUGUGGCAUUACGUGGGAUACUGGUAGCACCGGAGAACAGAGUCAGAACUGGAAGAGAGGCAGUGGAAUUUGUUGUGAUCUAGCAUAUUCGGGAGUCCGAACAAAGGGAUCUUUCUUAUCAAAAGCUAAGUGCCAUUUUUCUUAUUAGUAUAUGUUUAGAUUGCCCUUAGAAAUAGAUUUUGUCUAAAUUUGGUACGUUAGCCUGAGUAAAAUCAGGUGGUGCGCCUUAAAACCCGUCGGGGUAGAAGACGUAAUUUAGAUGAAAAGCUAUAUUAUACGUUUAGAGUUGUAAUUUGUUUUGUUUGUGUAAACGUCAUAUCCGUUGUUGCCUGGUUACUUCGUGACGUCAUCAUUGUGUGCCAUAUUGUCAUAUCCCAACCCAUAGCGAUAGUCUCAUUUAAUUAUUUCAUUUGUUUAUAUUAUUUUAAAUUAUUUAUUUUUAUUAAUUUAAUUAGAUCUGUAUUUUUUUUCACUUAAUGAUAGAAAGUGCGGGUAGGAUUCUUUUACUGUGAAUCAGACUAAAAUAAUUUUAGUUUGAGCGGUUAAAAUCAAAUAUGAUUUUGCCAUGAGAAUAAUGCCGAAACUGGCUAUGUAGUCAAACACUGUCGUCUGGCUAAAUAUAGAUCUGCAAAUUGUUGUACAUCUCUUUGGUACAAUUUAAUUAUCUAGACUCUAAUUUGAAAUAUUAUUAAUUGAAAAAUGAAUGAAGAUUACUGCCAGUGAAGAACAUUUGUGACGUGUGACGUGCCCAUAAGAUGCCACAUUUUCUUUUAUGAUGAACUGUGUACUAGUGAAGAUGAUUUUGGAAUGUUAUGAACUGUUAUGAACAUUGACAUGAAUAUGAGAAACUGUCAAGAUGAAGAUGUCAAGAUGAAGAGAUCAAGAUUUUAUGUUUGUGGUCUUCCCCUUAAAUUGAAAAUGCCCUUGUAAGACUUGACAGUAGUGGAAAAAUAUUGACAUAUUUUUUUUUCAAGGGGGGGAGGAAUCUGUUAGACACCUUAUUUAUAUAGGUUAGUUAUUUUAGUUAUUUAGCGACGCACCAUAGUAGACGCAUAUUGAACGGGACUAGUGACGUUUGGGAUAUGUUGGGUUAGAGACAGGAAAAAUCAGUUAGCGAUAUAACAUUACAGGGUAACGACGUGUUUAGUGACAGAGACUUCUACUGUGGCCUUUUAUCAGAAUAAAUCCAUGUGAACUUGUU